AUUGAACGCUGGCGGCAGGCCUAACACAUGCAAGUCGAGCGGAGCGGCGGACGCGUGAGUAUUGCCUAGGAAUCUGCCAGGUAGCGGGGGAGAACGUACGGAAACGGGCGCUAACACCGCAUAAUAUCCGAUGAGCCUAGGUCGGAUGAGGUAGUGGGUGGGGUAAAGGCACACAAUGGCGACGAUCCGUAACUGGUCUGAGAGGAUGAUCAGUAACACUGGAACUGGGACACGGUCCAGACUCCUACGGGUGGCAGCAGUGGGGAAUAUUGGACAAUGGUGGAAGGCCUGAUCCGGCCAGGCCGCGUGUUUGAAGAAGGUCUUCGGAGUGUAAAGCACUUUAAGUUGGGAGGCGUUACCAACAGAAUAAGCACCGGCUAACUUCGUGCCAGCAGCCGCGGUAAUUC
Molecule: ribosomal RNA, 407 nt
Filed under: uncultured bacterium
Lineage: Bacteria
Description: partial 16S ribosomal RNA
Rfam family: Bacterial small subunit ribosomal RNA
Source: RNAcentral